CCGCUUAACGGAUCGGUUAGAGCAUCGCAUUUCUAAUGCGAUGGUCGUCGGUUCGAUUCGGAUAGCCGGC
Molecule: transfer RNA, 70 nt
Filed under: Rhododendron huadingense
Lineage: Eukaryota; Viridiplantae; Streptophyta; Magnoliopsida; Ericales; Ericaceae
Description: tRNA-Arg
Source: RNAcentral